UUCCGGUUGAUCCUGCCGGACCCGACUGCUAUCAGAGUAGGACUAAGCCAUGCGAGUCGACGUAGCAAUGCGUGGCGAACGGCUCAGUAACACGUAGUCAACAUGCCCAAGGGACGUGGAUAACCUCGGGAAACUGAGAAUAAACCACGAUAGGUCAUGAUUUCUGGAAUGGAUCAUGGCUCAAAUCUACAUGGCCCCUGGAUUGGACUGCGGCCGAUCAGGCAGUUGGUGAGGUAAAGGCCCACCAAACCUAUAACCGGUACGGGCUCUGAGAGGAGAAGCCCGGAGAUGGGCACUGAGACAAGGGCCCAGGCCCUAUGGGGCGCAGCAGGCGCGAAACCUCUGCAAUAGGCGAAAGCCUGACAGGGUUACUCUGAGUGAUUUCCGCUAAGGGGAUCUUUUGGCACCUCUAAAAAUGGUGCAGAAUAAGGGGUGGGCAAGUCUGGUGUCAGCCGCCGCGGUAAUACCAGCACCCCGAGUGGUCGGGACGAUUAUUGGGCCUAAAGCAUCCGUAGCCGGUUCUGCAAGUCUUCCGUUAAAUCCAGCCGCUCAACGGAUGGGCCGCGGAGGAUACUACAGGACUAGGAGGCGGGAGAGGCAAGCGGUACUCAGUGGGUAGGGGUAAAAUCCUUUGAUCCAUUGAAGACCACUAGUGGCGAAGGCGGCUUGCCAGAACGCGCUCGACGGUGAGGGAUGAAAGCUGGGGGAGCAAACCGGAUUAGAUACCCGGGUAGUCCCAG
Molecule: ribosomal RNA, 740 nt
Filed under: uncultured archaeon
Lineage: Archaea
Description: bacterial SSU rRNA
Rfam family: Archaeal small subunit ribosomal RNA
Source: RNAcentral